RNAcentral lists this ribosomal RNA (253 nucleotides) under uncultured bacterium. RNAcentral describes it as "partial 16S ribosomal RNA". It matches the Rfam family "Bacterial small subunit ribosomal RNA", at positions 524 to 776 of the family's 1533-position model. The record is from RNAcentral.
UACAGAGGGGGCAAGCGUUGUUCGGAAUUACUGGGCGUAAAGGGCGCGUAGGCGGCCUUCUAAGUCAGACGUGAAAUCCCUCGGCUCAACCGGGGAACUGCGUCUGAGACUGAAAGGCUUGAAUCCGGGAGAGGGAUGUGGAAUUCCAGGUGUAGCGGUGAAAUGCGUAGAUAUCUGGAGGAACACCCGUGGCGAAAGCGGCGCGCUGGACCACUACUGACGCUGAGGAACGAAAGCUAGGGGAGCAAACAGG